UUCUUAUCCAGAAAGACUGAGGGAAUUGACCCUAUGACGUCUUGGCAACCUGCCCCGCAUUAGCGGGAUAAGGUGCCACAUUCAACCAUGCUUUGGCAUGGAUAGAUAAGUU
RNAcentral lists this non-coding RNA (112 nucleotides) under Flavobacterium rivuli. Its description in RNAcentral is "SAM-I sequence". It matches the Rfam family "SAM riboswitch aptamer (S box leader)". From Rfam's summary of the family: The SAM riboswitch is found upstream of a number of genes which code for proteins involved in methionine or cysteine biosynthesis in Gram-positive bacteria. The SAM riboswitch acts at the level of transcription termination control. The predicted structure consists of a complex stem-loop region followed by a single stem loop terminator region. RNAcentral also lists the same sequence under 1 other name. The record is from RNAcentral. Lineage: Bacteria; Pseudomonadati; Bacteroidota; Flavobacteriia; Flavobacteriales; Flavobacteriaceae.